GACGAACGCUGGCGGCGUGCUUAACACAUGCAAGUCGAACGGUAAGGCUCCAGCUUGCUGGGGUACACGAGUGGCGAACGGGUGAGUAACACGUGGGUGACCUGCCCUGCACUUCGGGAUAAGCCUGGGAAACUGGGUCUAAUACCGGAUAGGACCGCACCGUGAGGGUGUGGUGGAAAGUUUUUUCGGUGUGGGAUGGGCCCGCGGCCUAUCAGCUUGUUGGUGGGGUAAUGGCCUACCAAGGCGGCGACGGGUAGCCGGCCUGAGAGGGUGGACGGCCACAUUGGGACUGAGACACGGCCCAGACUCCUACGGGAGGCAGCAGUGGGGAAUAUUGCACAAUGGGCGGAAGCCUGAUGCAGCGACGCCGCGUGGGGGAUGAUGGCCUUCGGGUUGUAAACUCCUUUCACCAUCGACGAAGGGUUUCUGACGGUAGAUGGAGAAGAAGCACCGGCUAACUACGUGCCAGCAGCCGCGGUAAUACGUAGGGUGCGAGCGUUGUCCGGAAUUACUGGGUGUAAAGAGCUCGUAGGUGGUUUGUCGCGUCGUCUGUGAAAUUCCGGGGCUUAACUCCGGGCGUGCAGGCGAUACGGGCAUAACUUGAGUACUGUAGGGGAGACUGGAAUUUCCUGGUGUAGCGGUGAAAUUGCGCAGAUAUCAAGAGGAACACCGGUGGCGAAAGCGGGUCUCUGGGCAUAACUGACGCUGAGGAGCCGAAGCAUGGGGAGCGAACAGGAUUAAUAUCUCUUUGUGGUCAGGGGGCGAAUUCCCUAGUGGAAUUCACGCUUCUCAACCUCCGCGACCUCGCGGGGUUUUUUUUUUUUUUUUUUAUUGUCCCUUACGACGGUUAAAUAAUACAACGCUCU
This 866-nucleotide ribosomal RNA is filed under the name Mesomycoplasma hyorhinis. Its description in RNAcentral is "Mycoplasma hyorhinis partial 16S ribosomal RNA". It matches the Rfam family "Bacterial small subunit ribosomal RNA", at positions 28 to 788 of the family's 1533-position model. Lineage: Bacteria; Bacillati; Mycoplasmatota; Mycoplasmoidales; Metamycoplasmataceae. The record is from RNAcentral.